AAAUGAAUUGACGGGGACCCGCACAAGCGGUGGAGCAUGUGGUUUAAUUCGAAGCAACGCGAAGAACCUUACCAAAACUUGACAUCCCAAUGCCCGGUCCUUAAUCGGAUCCUUCUAAGUUUACUUAGACAUUGGUGACAGGUGGUGCAUGGUUGUCGUCAGCUCGUGUCGUGAGAUGUUGGGUUAAGUCCCGCAACGAGCGCAACCCUUAUUUUUAGUAGCCAGCAAGUAAUGUUGGGCACUCUAGAGAGACUGCCAGGGAUAACCUGGAGGAAGGUGGGGACGACGUCAAAUCAUCAUGCCCCUUAUGUUUUGGGCUACACACGUGCUACAAUGGCUGCUACAAAGGGAAGCAAAUGGGUGACCAUAAGCAAACCUCAAAAAGGCAGUCCCAGUUCGGAUUGUAGUCUGCAACUCGACUACAUGAAGUUGGAAUCGCUAGUAAUCGCGAAUCAGAAUAUCGCGGUGAAUACGUUCCCGGGUCUUGUACACACCGCCCGU
RNAcentral lists this ribosomal RNA (501 nucleotides) under uncultured bacterium. RNAcentral's name for it is "bacterial SSU rRNA". It matches the Rfam family "Bacterial small subunit ribosomal RNA", at positions 903 to 1397 of the family's 1533-position model. The record is from RNAcentral.